UACGUAGGGUGCAAGCGUUGUCCGGAAUUAUUGGGCGUAAAGAGCUCGUAGGCGGUUUGUCGCGUCUGCUGUGAAAACGCGGGGCUCAACUCCGCGCCUGCAGUGGGUACGGGCAGACUAGAGUGCGGUAGGGGUGACUGGAAUUCCUGGUGUAGCGGUGGAAUGCGCAGAUAUCAGGAGGAACACCGAUGGCGAAGGCAGGUCACUGGGCCGCAACUGACGCUGAGGAGCGAAAGCAUGGGGAGCGAACAGG
Molecule: ribosomal RNA, 253 nt
Filed under: uncultured bacterium
Lineage: Bacteria
Description: partial 16S ribosomal RNA
Rfam family: Bacterial small subunit ribosomal RNA
Source: RNAcentral